GGAGGGUGCGAGCGUUGUUCGGAAUUACUGGGCGUAAAGCGCGUGUAGGCGGCCUUGCAAGUCAGGCGUGAAAGCCCUCGGCUUAACCGGGGAAGUGCGUCUGAAACUGCUUGGCUUGAGUACGGGAGAGGGAGGCGGAAUUCCCAGCGUAGAGGUGAAGUUCGUAGAUAUUGGGAGGAACACCGGUGGCGAAAGCGGCCUCCUGGACCGAUACUGACGCUGAGACGCGAAAGCGUGGGGAGCAAACAGGAUUAGAUACCCUGGUAGUCCACGCGGUAAACGAUGGGCACUAGGUGUGGGGGGUAUCCACUCCUCCCGUGCCGAAGCUAACGCAUUAAGUGCCCCGCCUGGGGAGUACGGCCGCAAGGUUA
RNAcentral lists this ribosomal RNA (371 nucleotides) under uncultured bacterium. Its description in RNAcentral is "bacterial SSU rRNA". It matches the Rfam family "Bacterial small subunit ribosomal RNA", at positions 527 to 896 of the family's 1533-position model. The record is from RNAcentral.